This 892-nucleotide ribosomal RNA is filed under the name Enterococcus faecium. RNAcentral's name for it is "bacterial SSU rRNA". It matches the Rfam family "Bacterial small subunit ribosomal RNA", at positions 10 to 872 of the family's 1533-position model. The record is from RNAcentral. Lineage: Bacteria; Bacillati; Bacillota; Bacilli; Lactobacillales; Enterococcaceae.
AGUUUGAUUCUGGCUCAGGACGAACGCUGGCGGCGUGCCUAAUACAUGCAAGUCGAACGCUUCUUUUUCCACCGGAGCUUGCUCCACCGGAAAAAGAGGAGUGGCGAACGGGUGAGUAACACGUGGGUAACCUGCCCAUCAGAAGGGGAUAACACUUGGAAACAGGUGCUAAUACCGUAUAACAAUCGAAACCGCAUGGUUUUGAUUUGAAAGGCGCUUUCGGGUGUCGCUGAUGGAUGGACCCGCGGUGCAUUAGCUAGUUGGUGAGGUAACGGCUCACCAAGGCCACGAUGCAUAGCCGACCUGAGAGGGUGAUCGGCCACAUUGGGACUGAGACACGGCCCAAACUCCUACGGGAGGCAGCAGUAGGGAAUCUUCGGCAAUGGACGAAAGUCUGACCGAGCAACGCCGCGUGAGUGAAGAAGGUUUUCGGAUCGUAAAACUCUGUUGUUAGAGAAGAACAAGGAUGAGAGUAACUGUUCAUCCCUUGACGGUAUCUAACCAGAAAGCCACGGCUAACUACGUGCCAGCAGCCGCGGUAAUACGUAGGUGGCAAGCGUUGUCCGGAUUUAUUGGGCGUAAAGCGAGCGCAGGCGGUUUCUUAAGUCUGAUGUGAAAGCCCCCGGCUCAACCGGGGAGGGUCAUUGGAAACUGGGAGACUUGAGUGCAGAAGAGGAGAGUGGAAUUCCAUGUGUAGCGGUGAAAUGCGUAGAUAUAUGGAGGAACACCAGUGGCGAAGGCGGCUCUCUGGUCUGUAACUGACGCUGAGGCUCGAAAGCGUGGGGAGCAAACAGGAUUAGAUACCCUGGUAGUCCACGCCGUAAACGAUGAGUGCUAAGUGUUGGAGGGUUUCCGCCCUUCAGUGCUGCAGCUAACGCAUUAAGCACUCCGC